RNAcentral lists this ribosomal RNA (1503 nucleotides) under uncultured bacterium. RNAcentral's name for it is "16S ribosomal RNA". It matches the Rfam family "Bacterial small subunit ribosomal RNA". The record is from RNAcentral.
GAGAGUUUGAUCCUGGCUCAGAUUGAACGCUAGCGGGAUGCUUUACACAUGCAAGUCGAACGGCAGCACGAGAGAGCUUGCUCUCUUGGUGGCGAGUGGCGGACGGGUGAGUAAUAUAUCGGAACGUGCCCAGUAGCGGGGGAUAACUACUCGAAAGAGUGGCUAAUACCGCAUACGCCCUACGGGGGAAAGGGGGGGAUUCUUCGGAACCUCUCACUAUUGGAGCGGCCGAUAUCGGAUUAGCUAGUUGGUGGGGUAAAGGCUCACCAAGGCAACGAUCCGUAGCUGGUUUGAGAGGACGACCAGCCACACUGGGACUGAGACACGGCCCAGACUCCUACGGGAGGCAGCAGUGGGGAAUUUUGGACAAUGGGGGAAACCCUGAUCCAGCCAUCCCGCGUGUAUGAUGAAGGCCUUCGGGUUGUAAAGUACUUUUGGCAGAGAAGAAAAGGUACCUCCUAAUACGAGGUACUGCUGACGGUAUCUGCAGAAUAAGCACCGGCUAACUACGUGCCAGCAGCCGCGGUAAUACGUAGGGUGCAAGCGUUAAUCGGAAUUACUGGGCGUAAAGCGUGUGUAGGCGGUUCGGAAAGAAAGAUGUGAAAUCCCAGGGCUCAACCUUGGAACUGCAUUUUUAACUGCCGAGCUAGAGUAUGUCAGAGGGGGGUAGAAUUCCACGUGUAGCAGUGAAAUGCGUAGAUAUGUGGAGGAAUACCGAUGGCGAAGGCAGCCCCCUGGGAUAAUACUGACGCUCAGACACGAAAGCGUGGGGAGCAAACAGGAUUAGAUACCCUGGUAGUCCACGCCCUAAACGAUGUCAACUAGCUGUUGGGGCCGUUAGGCCUUAGUAGCGCAGCUAACGCGUGAAGGUGACCGCCUGGGGAGUACGGUCGCAAGAUUAAAACUCAAAGGAAUUGACGGGGACCCGCACAAGCGGUGGAUGAUGUGGAUUAAUUCGAUGCAACGCGAAAAACCUUACCUACCCUUGACAUGUCUGGAAUCCCGAAGAGAUUUGGGAGUGCUCGCAAGAGAACCGGAACACAGGUGCUGCAUGGCUGUCGUCAGCUCGUGUCGUGAGAUGUUGGGUUAAGUCCCGCAACGAGCGCAACCCUUGUCAUUAGUUGCUACGCAAGAGCACUCUAAUGAGACUGCCGGUGACAAACCGGAGGAAGGUGGGGAUGACGUCAAGUCCUCAUGGCCCUUAUGGGUAGGGCUUCACACGUCAUACAAUGGUCGGGACAGAGGGUCGCCAACCCGCGAGGGGAGCCAAUCUCAGAAACCCGAUCGUAGUCCGGAUCGCAGUCUGCAACUCGACUGCGUGAAGUCGGAAUCGCUAGUAAUCGCGGAUCAGAAUGUCGCGGUGAAUACGUUCCCGGGUCUUGUACACACCGCCCGUCACACCAUGGGAGUGGGUUUCACCAGAAGUAGGUAGCCUAACCGCAAGGAGGGCGCUUACCACGGUGGGAUUCAUGACUGGGGUGAAGUCGUAACAAGGUAGCCGUA